ACUCCUACGGGAGGCAGCAGUGGGGAAUAUUGCACAAUGGGGGAAACCCUGAUGCAGCCAUGCCGCGUGUGUGAAGAAGGCCUUGGGUUGUAAAGCACUUUCAGUAGGGAGGAAGGUAGUGUAGUUAACACCUGCAUUAUUUGACGUUACCUACAGAAGAAGCACCGGCUAACUCCGUGCCAGCAGCCGCGGUAAGUACGGAGGGUGCGAGCGUUAAUCGGAAUUACUGGGCGUAAAGCGCAUGCAGGCGGCCUGUUAAGUCAGAUGUGAAAGCCCGGGGCUUAACCUCGGAAUUGCAUUUGAAACUGGCAGGCUAGAGUCUUGUAGAGGGGUUAGAAUUUCAGGUGUAGCGGUGAAAUGCGUAGAGAUCUGAAGGAAUACCGAGUGGCGAAGGCGGCCCCUGGACAAAGACUGACGCUCAGAUGCGAAAGCGU
RNAcentral lists this ribosomal RNA (434 nucleotides) under uncultured bacterium. RNAcentral's name for it is "bacterial SSU rRNA". It matches the Rfam family "Bacterial small subunit ribosomal RNA", at positions 335 to 762 of the family's 1533-position model. The record is from RNAcentral.